AUGCUACAAUGCAGCGUCGAUUGUGAUGGAGACCACGGCGCUGCACUUGCGCGAUGGCGGAAGAUGCUGCAAUGCCAUGUGAAUCGUCGUGGUGACCACGGCACUGCAACUCGCAUACCUCGUCGUCCUUCAACAGUGAACGUUGCAACCGAAGGAUCCCGCCCGGGGAUGCAAUGGAGCACUGCCCGUGUCGUUGAAGCUGUGGUGGGGCUGCAAUGGAGCGUCACCGAAGCUGCAAUGGAGCUUCACCGGGCGUCGGGGCUGCAAUGGAGCACUGCCGGUGUCGUUGAAGCUGUGGUGGGGCUGCAAUGGUGUUUGACCGGGGCGUCAUCGGUGUUGCGUUGA
This 345-nucleotide ribosomal RNA is filed under the name Triticum aestivum (bread wheat). RNAcentral describes it as "partial small subunit ribosomal RNA". The record is from RNAcentral. Lineage: Eukaryota; Viridiplantae; Streptophyta; Magnoliopsida; Poales; Poaceae.